Molecule: long non-coding RNA, 4132 nt
Organism: Bombus terrestris (buff-tailed bumblebee)
Lineage: Eukaryota; Metazoa; Arthropoda; Insecta; Hymenoptera; Apidae
Exons: 3
Source: RefSeq, a predicted model, not a curated record
GGGUAAACGCGAGCACCCGGCAGAGAAGCGGCACCACCAUCAGUGCGAUCACGAGCAUCGCGAAGCCUGGUUUGGUCGCGGAAAAUGCGCGGCAGGGGUGGAAAAGGGCCGACGUGAACGUACCACACAGCCUGUGCCUGGCUGGCUGCCCGCCGGUUUUCGGCAAGAGACGACACAGCAGCAGCAGCAGCAGCAGCAUCAGCAGCCUGUUCGUGACGAGCCCCAGAAUGCUCCUGGAGGGGGCUGACUCGGAAGGGGAGGGGGGGAGGCUCCAGAGUCGGCAUCCUCGGUUCUAGGGUGGAAACCACUGCCACCGACAACGAGGGUUGGUGGGGGAUUCAGAGAGGGCUAAAACGAGAGGUGGUUUGGUGGGAGGGAGAACAGUCGAUCCCUGGGGCACUACCAGGGGGAUUGGGGGUUGAUAUCGAGGGGCAGGGCUAGGUGGGCGAAGACGGAGAGGGCGCAGUGAUCCCGCGACCAUCAAACCAACAACACCGUCCCGACACAAAACGGCGCAUCCUGCUGCGCCCCCUUCUUCUUCUUCUGUCGCUUCUGCCGCUUCUGCUUCUUCUUCUUCGUCGACACGUCCUGUUCCAUCGUAGUCGGCCACGGCGGCGUCGACCGAAGUCGGCUCACGCAUCCUGACUUUCUUGCCGCUUUCAUCCAAGCAAGGUGUCGAACACGAUCCUCCACGAUGGAUUCCAUGGAGGUAUCCGAGAGAUUCAUCUCCUGGACCUGCUGGACGAUGGAGUAUGGUUCUCCAAUACGGUGACCGUGGCUGGAAGAGGAUCCAGGAGACGUUCGAUCAUCUACCAUUGGAUCCACGGAACACGGAAUUCAUUGGCAGAUACCAGGUAGAACCAUGCGGUUCGUCGGCCCGGUACCAGGGUUCUCAUGAAUGGAGGAGGGUUCGCCAGGAUCGAUGAAGAGGGCGUGCCUUCAGGGGAGGAUUGGUAUCCGUGACGUUUUCAACCCCACCUGAGAAGGCCGCAAACGGAGUGCACGUGCUCGAUUACGUCAUAAGGAUAGCCGGGACUGGAGCGAGAGUAAAGUCAUUCAGUGAUCCUGUAUCGCUGCUCGUUCCACGGUCAUAAGACUCCACUUCCGGUUCUCACCGUAACUGUAAAUUAAUGUCAACUUUACGUAACUCGUCGUCGAUGGGUUGACGGAGUAAAGACGGAUAGAGGAGGAAGAUACUGAAGAGGCUAGUGAAUAUUUCAGACUGUUGGUGGAUUUUACGCGGAGGAAGAUGGAAGAAGAAGUGAGAUGGUGGAAAAUACGAAGAUGCGUGAGUCUGUGCUCCUUGCGUUCACUGCGGGCUUCCAUGUGCCAACUUUUCAAAAUUCAUAAGGCACGCGGUGAAUGCCAAGAGCGGACCAAAUUCAACGUUCUCUAUCGCGAUACACGUCGACCGUAGUUGGCAGUUCACGGAUUUCGACGAUUUAACUGUGCUCGUUAUUUUUGCUACGACAGGUCAGUAAUGAGUUGAAAUUUUCAUGUCUGCGACUUUGAUUUUCAUUAUGUUCGACGAUUAAUUUAUUUUUCAUUUUCCCUCUUUUUCUAUUUUUUUUUAGUUUUAUAUCUUAAUAAUAGUAGACCGUAAAAGUGAAUCGUAGUAAUAGUUUUGAAUGAUUUCAAGUAGACGAGACUUCAGUAGUUCAGGAAAAUCCUUUUGUUUUUCAUUUUUUUUUUUUUUUAUUCCUCCUGCUAGAAUUUGUAGCACUUCGCCAAUCUGCCUUGUAUAGAUCUUCAGUUUGAUAACAGAGUGGGACUUUAAGUUUGUUGUAAAGUGAGAUCAUGUACAGUAACAGCUCCUCUUCGACUGUGUACAUAUGCAUUCUUUUUAACAAUAAAAAAAAAUAUCGUUUACUCCCGUCUAUUAUACCUGCGUCUCUCAAUCAUUUCUCCAUCACAAUUCUCUCUACUUCUUUCUCUUUCUUUUUCUACUCCCACCGAGUGCCUAACCAUAUCAGGUAAGGAACCUUGAACUUUCUCGCUCUCUCUCUCUCUCUCUCUCGGUCUCGGUAAUUUCACCCUGUGAAGAACCUUAUUCAACACGUCAAUUAAUUUUUCACAAUCUACGAACCGGCGAAGGUCCUCUAAUCCUCAUUACGUGGCCACGUACGAUCACAGUAGUAUAAAUUACAAUGCUUCGUCAACUUUUCCCAUUCUACCAUAAUCUAUACUCAUUUCAUUCCCAAUUUAUCACGACUUAUUUUUCCACCACGUUCGAGGUUUCCUUGGACGUAUUUUCAACCCUCAAAAGAUACCAAAAACGAUCCACGCAAUUCUACAAAACAACGAAGGGAGCCCUUCCUACGGUUUGUUCCCAAUCCCUCGACUUUCUCAAGGACAAACUCGUGAUCGAACCCAGCGAUGAUCGUAGAGCGGCAUCAACGAGCAGCAGAGACAUAGAGAGCAGGGUUAGCAAUCGUUUUAAGUGUCCCAGCGUGGCACGAGCGGCGAUAGGGGUGGGAUAGAGGGCUUAAAGUCAGCACCCCCGUAAUGGAAAUUGGGGAAUUCCCGAACGUACGACGAAAACGGCUGCUUGUAUCGACCGAGUCCUCAUCCGCGGAACGGGCAAAUACGAGCUGCCGGUGGCAAGAGGGGGUGACUGCUAGCAUAGGGGGGUGGCAAGGGGUGAACGGAGGUUUAAGGGUGGACGUGCGUUGCCUGGCAACCCAUCCCUUCUCGCCAGCAUCCCCUGGACCGCCGCGGCUCCGGCAACGAUGCCACGUUACCAAUACCAACCGCCGAUGCUCUGUGCUUCCACCUUCUACCGACGCGGCUCGAUUUUCCUCUACCCCGGUUAUACGUAUACCCUAUUAAAGGAAACGCGUUCUCACUCUACAGACCCGUCCAACACUCCAGCAGUUUCCUCCAUUAUUCAGGCCCGAUGCUCAACCACUGUCCCUUUUCGUCGGUUUCAUCCCUCCACCUGCCAGACGUAGCAUCCUCUCUCUUUUUCUUUAUUUCCAGCUUUCCACGGGGCACCGCGGAGUAUCUCCGCCGCGAAUAAUGGACGUCUGUGCACGCGAAUUAGAAACGACGAUCGCGAAACCAAGCGUACGCAAGCUUUCGUUAUCGGAAAAGCGGUUCGAUUGCAACGGGGGUUGGGGAGGAUACGCCGUUAUACUCGGGAUUUGAGACGAGUUGGUAAUAACGUAGAUUAUUCGAUCGGUGGAGAGAAUAUUUUGUAUACUCGAUUAUUAUAGAGAAGCUUUUUUAAAAAGAAAAAUUGCAAUUUAGAUUAUUCGGUUGUUAUUAUAGAUUAUCGGAAUUAGUUUGUUCUUAAAUUUGUAAAUAUAGUGUAGAAAUAAUGUAGAGAUGAUCGAGUUUUAGGUCUGAGAAAUCUAGAUUAUUUGAUUAUUAUUAUUAUCAUAGAAAAUUUUUUCUUUGCAAAUGGGGAUGAUAAAAACACGAACGUAGAGAAACGUGCCAUAAUUUCGAACCGUAAAAUACUUUGAAUUCGGAGAACAUAUUUUACUCGAUCGUUAUAAUGAGCUUUUAUCUUGCAAAUGUGUGUAAUGAGGAUAGCAAUAUAGGAGGACGUAACUGAGCUUUAAAGGAUCAUGAAUUUCGGUUGUCGUAUAAAGCUUGAUCGUAAUAAAGUAUUUUUUCCUGUAAGUUUAUAGAUUAACAGCAGAAUUUUUAAACCUAAUUUAGAUAUCGCGAGGUUUCACGUUUUCAAGAAUAUAAUUUUAUAAAUAUCGUGCGAUAUUCAAGAGUAACCUCCAUCGUCCGAUAUCGACAGAUCUAUCUUUGCUCCUCGCCGAGAGUAGCGAUUAUUAAUGACGCGAGUCUCGGCAUCGUUGCAAGAACCAAUAACAUCUUAGAUACGUAGAUUUACGUAGAUUACGUAGAUAUUAGAACGACCAAACUACUUUACCUUAUAUUUUAUUAGAACGAAUGUUUUCGAUUGAUCAAGAACUGUAAUUAAGGUUUGAGAGUGUAUAUGUAACGCAUUUGUGAAAGCAAGGUGUGUGACCGAUUUACUAAUAAUACAUUCGUAUGAAGAAACAUGUUUAAUUGCAUGAUGUAAUGUGGUUGGAAUAAACGAGCAUACGUAACCAAUGCAUCGCACAUUCUUUCCAGCGAUCCACAAAACGCAUCAAAAUGAUAAACCCGCUCC